Molecule: long non-coding RNA, 1632 nt
Organism: Bos taurus (domestic cattle)
Lineage: Eukaryota; Metazoa; Chordata; Mammalia; Artiodactyla; Bovidae
Source: Ensembl
UGAGAUGAGAUGGUCCUGGUUACCAGGGUCAGUCCUAAGUCCAGGGACAGGUGUCCCUACAGGAAACACGGCGGGAGGAGGAGGCUGUGUAGUGAUGGCAUGACGUGGCUGCGAGUGGAGGACGUGCAGGGCCCCUGGAACUGGAGGCCAGGCUGGAGCAGGGCCUCCCUGAGUCUCCAGGAGGGGACAACCCUGCAGACACCUGGGUUUCCAACCCUGACCUUGGAACGUGAGGGGCUGGAUCUCUGUUGCCUGAAGGCCCCAUGUCUGUGCUUACGGCAGCUCCAGGGAGCUGAUACGAUGGCGAAUGAGGGUGGGGGCUGCCUUUCUUAGAGUGGACGUGGCCGCUCCCUCAAGCUGAUCCCCAGGUUCUCAGCAAGCAGCCCACCGAACCCGCGGCUGGGCACGGAAUCCUCGGCCUCCUGCUGAAAAGCAGACUCAGCAUCUGGGCAGCCAGACUGGGCUUCCCACUGGUUCUGGGUGAGUUUCUCAGAAACAAAACCAGAGACACCCCCCCCCCCACCUCCCCGCCCCCAGCAGCACCUCUGACGCUGCUGGGAGCUUCCCCAUGCCCUGGAGGAUCCGCGCUCACUGCCCUGGUUGGAUUGAUGGGGUGUGUGCUGGGCAGCAGAUGUUAACAGCUCCCUGGGAUCCCCCCCCUUCACAGCCCGGCUGGGAACCCCAUGCCCAGCAGCCCCCAGUCCUGACACUGACGAUGGAGGGUGCCUGUCGGCACCAGGAGGGCAGUGUCCCCAGAAGAGCCAUGAGCAUUCCCAGGGGCAGGCAGGGGCCCUCCCUACGUGUUCUAGCACCAGCGAAAGGGACAUGACUCUGGGCGGAGCACAGCCCCGGGGCACAGGAAGGCCAGGACCUGACCUGGAAACCGAGACUCAGGUCUGAGAAGGAGGCGCCUGACCAAGUGCUGUCCAGGGCCAGACGCUGGGGGAGCCCAGCUGGUGAGAGCAGUGGCCUGACCCUGACCCUCAGAGCGGCCAUCACAUGGAGCUUCAGGAAAAUAUAUAGAAUGUAGAACUUGUCACCAUAACCAUUAAGUACACUCGUGGUGUCGUGCAAGUGUUCCCGCCAUCAUCUCCAGGACUUCCCAUCUUCCAAACUGAACCUCUGUCCCCAGGAAACACUCACUCCCUCUCCGCACCCCAGCCCCUGGCCCCCACCAUCUACUUCCUGUCUCUAUGGAUCUGACCCCUCCAGGAGCCUCAGAGGCCGUGGGCUCAGGAUGGCUCUCGCUUUCACCUGUAGUCAGUAGGCCCCGGGAACUGGGUGGUUCGGCAGGUUGAGGUUCCCGCCGAGCACCUGGCUGCCCGUGAACCAGAGCCAGUGCCGUGGGUCCAUGCCUGGUGUGGUCCACGGGCUGCUUUCUGGGCCAGAAGUCCUGCCCUCCUUUCUGACAAGAAGCAUACCCAAGCUGCCUGCAGCAUCGAGCUCUUCACCUGGAGACGGCUUGGAUGUGAUGAAAGCUGGCAGCUGACUUCCCUGUGACAGUCCCCUCCGAGGAUGGUGUGCCCGGGCCUGCGGCCAGGACAGGAAGCUAGAUGUCAUCUAUGUUCUAGUGCAGGGUUACUCCCAGAUCAAGCACUUGCGGUGCAUUAAACAUGUUGUCACUCAGAAAAA